UGGGGAAUAUUGGACAAUGGGCGCAAGCCUGAUCCAGCCAUGCCGCGUGGGUGAUGAAGGCCCUAGGGUUGUAAAGCCCUUUCGGCGGGGAAGAUAAUGACGGUACCCGCAGAAGAAGCCCCGGCUAACUUCGUGCCAGCAGCCGCGGUAAUACGAAGGGGGCUAGCGUUGCUCGGAAUCACUGGGCGUAAAGCGCACGUAGGCGGAUUGCUAAGUCAGGGGUGAAAUCCUGGAGCUCAACUCCAGGACUGCCUUUGAUACUGGCGAUCUGGAGUCCGGGAGAGGUGAGUGGAACUGCGAGUGUAGAGGUGAAAUUAGUAGAUAAUCGCAAGAAAACCAGUGGCGAAGGCGGGUCACUGGCCCGGUACUGACGCUGAGGUGCGAAAGCGUGGGGAGCAAACAGG
Molecule: ribosomal RNA, 404 nt
Filed under: Acidobacteriota bacterium
Lineage: Bacteria; Pseudomonadati; Acidobacteriota
Description: Acidobacteria bacterium partial 16S ribosomal RNA
Rfam family: Bacterial small subunit ribosomal RNA
Source: RNAcentral